GGAUGACCAUGUCUGAGGAACGC
RNAcentral lists this non-coding RNA (23 nucleotides) under Arabidopsis thaliana (thale cress). Lineage: Eukaryota; Viridiplantae; Streptophyta; Magnoliopsida; Brassicales; Brassicaceae. The record is from RNAcentral.